Rhipicephalus microplus (southern cattle tick) is the source of this 379-nucleotide long non-coding RNA. NCBI's taxonomy places the organism in Eukaryota, Metazoa, Arthropoda, Arachnida, Ixodida, Ixodidae. The record is from RefSeq and is a predicted model, not a curated record.
CAGAAGUUCGGAGUCUUUGGGAGCGGGCAGUUCGCCGUGAAGGGUGGCGCGCUAAGGAUGGAGACCGCCUGUGCUCUGUACAUUUCACUCCUGAGUGCUUUGACCGCACUGGGCAAACGACGCGACUGCGGGUGGGAAGUGUGCCCACGUCGUUUCCAGCUUUUCCGCCUCAUCUGCAGAAACCUGUCAAACAGAAGCGUCCCGACCCCAAGUCUCGAGAUUUCCCGGCCCCGCCUGGUCCUGAGUGUUCUGGGUUGUGCGACCUGCCUGGAGCUGAAAAUUUUCCUGAAGACUCGCCAACCAAACAGUUCUACAAAGACAAGGUCCUUUCCUCACAAGAAGAGAUAACCCAGUUGAAGAAGAAGGUCAAAACACUGCA